UGACCGCCCCCUUUGUCCCAAAGGGGAGCCAAGGCCAUACGGACAGCCGGGUCAAAUGCCGA
Molecule: small RNA, 62 nt
Filed under: Agathobaculum faecis
Lineage: Bacteria; Bacillati; Bacillota; Clostridia; Eubacteriales; Butyricicoccaceae
Also listed under: 1 other name
Description: Streptococcus sRNA SpF59 (ldcC RNA)
Rfam family: Streptococcus sRNA SpF59 (ldcC RNA)
Source: Rfam by way of RNAcentral